Uranotaenia lowii is the source of this 780-nucleotide long non-coding RNA. RefSeq lists it as uncharacterized. NCBI's taxonomy places the organism in Eukaryota, Metazoa, Arthropoda, Insecta, Diptera, Culicidae. The transcript has 3 exons. The record is from RefSeq and is a predicted model, not a curated record.
UGCGAUUAUUGUUGUUUUUUAAACAUAGUGUACGGUUGAAUUUCAAGCAUUUUCGAAGUUUUGACGAAAGAUGUUGAAAAUGGUUGAAUUUCAAACACAAAUAUGUAAUAAAAACAGUUGCCAUCUUUGGACGCGCAGAAAACUUGUUUGUUUUUAACUGCUGUGCGUCGCAUCGACUGAUUGUUUUAGAUUUUUUUUACUCCGGGGGAAUUACUUGAUUAUAGAGCUGAACAAUAAUAAAACUGUCCACCAUUGUACAAAUGGAAACCGACUGCUACAUAUGGAUCCGGAUGAGGAGCUUCCAGUUGAAACCUGCAGACACAGGCAACAGCAAAACCAACGACAGCGAUGCGGAAGAAGAUAAAUCUUCCGACAAGGGCGUUUCUAAUUCCAAUAGGGAGGUGGUCCUGAACUUCCAUCCGGGAUCAUCUAAACGCCGAAGGAGAUAUGAAAACGACGGUUGUUUUGCUUGAGAACAGUCUGCAUAGGUUGGGGCAUUUUCCACAAGCAAUGAUCAGAUAAACACUUCCCUUCGCUCAGUGGGCCUAUCUGGUUCGAAAAGCUGCAAGUUAAGUUUCCAGCACGAUGGGGUAGCAGCCCCCCGAAUCGGGUGCUCCGUAGUCACCGGAAAGCAGCAAGGCUUCAUCCGUUCAUGGCGGCAACAGAGGUAGACGAGGCAACUAGACCAAAUUCUACAAUGAUUUUUGGAUGGACGGUCAUAAUUGUAUCACAUUGGUAAACAUGUAAAUACUUAAAUAAAGCUUCCAUUUAUUAAAUUCA